This is a long non-coding RNA of Bos indicus x Bos taurus (hybrid cattle), 208 nucleotides long. Lineage: Eukaryota; Metazoa; Chordata; Mammalia; Artiodactyla; Bovidae. The record is from Ensembl.
CAUGGACUUUGCCCACCCAAGCAGGACAAGGUCAGAAAACUACAAGGCCCUUCACAUUCCAGGCUGGAAAGUCAAAGAUGAGCAGAACUGUGCUUGGCCUCAGUGGGUCAUCAUCUGGAGAAGAACGACCGACAUGAAAACCCAUGACUCCCAGAAAGCACCAGCCAUGCAGGUGGGAGAGGUCCUUCAAGCACACAUCUACAGAUAA